Paramuricea clavata is the source of this 80-nucleotide non-coding RNA. NCBI's taxonomy places the organism in Eukaryota, Metazoa, Cnidaria, Anthozoa, Malacalcyonacea, Plexauridae. The record is from the annotation of a GenBank genome assembly.
GACUCUGUAGCUCAGUUGGUUAGAGCAGCUAGCACUGCACCGGAAAUGCAAUGACACAGGUUCAAUUCCUGCCAGAGGGC